CAGAGGGUGCGAGCGUUGUUCGGAAUUAUUGGGCGUAAAGGGAGUGUAGGCUGUUUGGAAAGUCUUCUGUGAAAUCUACGGGCUUACCCUGUAAAGUGCAGAGGAAACUACCAGGCUUGAGUGUCGGAGAGGACAGGGGAAUACCCAGUGUAGAGGUGAAAUUCGUAGAGAUUGGGUGGAACACCAGUGGCGAAGGCGCCUGUCUGGCUGACAACUGACGCUGAGACUCGAAAGCAUGGGGAGCAAACAGGAUUAGAUACCCUGGUAGUCCAUGCCGUAAACGAUGAUAGCUAGAUGUGUGAGGUAUUGACCCCUUACGUGUCGAAGUCAACACGAUAAGCUAUCCGCCUGGGGAGUACGGUCGCAAGAUUAA
Molecule: ribosomal RNA, 373 nt
Filed under: uncultured organism
Description: bacterial SSU rRNA
Rfam family: Bacterial small subunit ribosomal RNA
Source: RNAcentral